AGAGUUUGAUCCUGGCUCAGGACGAACGCUGGCGGCGUGGAUUAGGCAUGCAAGUCGAGCGACGGUGUUCCUUCGGGAGCAUACGGAGCGGCGAACGGGUGAGUAACGCGUGAACAACCUGUCCCUUUGUUCCGGAUAAUUGGGAGAAAUCCCUUGUAAUACGGGCGAGGACGGUCCUUUGGCAUCUUAGGAUCGGGAAACACGAAAGUGGCAUGGGGAGGGGUUCGCGACCUAUCAGGUAGUUGGUGUGGUAACGGCACACCAAGCCAACGACGGGUAGCUGGUCUGAGAGGAUGGUCAGCCACAUUGGAACUGAGACACUGUCCAGACUCCUACGGGGGGCUGCAGUCGAGAAUCUUGGGCAAUGCACGAAAGUGUGACCCAGCGACGCCGCGUGAAGGAUGAAGGCCCUCUGGGUCGUAAACUUCUUUUAAGGGGAAAGAAUGGGCUUCGGCCUUUGACGGUACCCUUUGAAUAAGCCACGGCUAACUACGUGCCAGCAGCCGCGGUAAUACGUAGGUGGCAAGCGUUGUCCGGAUUUACUGGGCGUAAAGCGAACGCAGGCGGACUGUUAAGUAAGAAGUGAAAGGUUGGAGCUCAACUCUGACACGGCUUCUUAUACUGGCAGUCUUGAGUCCUGGAGAGGAAAGCGGAACGACACGUGUAGCGGUGAAAUGCGUUGAUAUGUGUCGGAACACCGAUGGCGAAAGCAGCUUUCUGGACAAGUACUGACGCUAAGGUUCGAAAGCCAAGGGAGCGAACAGGAUUAGAUACCCUGGUAGUCUUGGCCAUAAACGAUGUUCACUAGGUGUCGGGGCUUUGCUUCGGUGCCGCAGCUAACGCAUUAAGUGAACCGCCUGGGAACUACGAUCGCAAGAUUAAAACUCAAAGGAAUUGGCGGGGGCCCGCACAAGCGGUGGAGCAUAUGGCUUAAUUCGAUGCAACGCGAAGAACCUUACCAGGGCUUGACAUGCAACUGCACGCUGUAGAGAUACAGUUCUUUCGAAGGUGUUGCACAGGUGGUGCAUGGCUGUCGUCAGCUCGUGUCGUGAGAUGUUGGGUUAAGUCCCGCAACGAGCGCAACCCUCACGGUCUGUUACCAGCGGAUAAUGCCGGGGACUCGGACUGAACUGCCUCUGUAAAGAGGAGGAAGGUGGGGAUGACGUCAAGUCAUCAUGCCCCUUACGCCCUGGGCUGCACAUAUGCUACAAUGGCCGGUACAAAGAGCUGCGAGCACGCGAGUGUCAGCAAAUCUCAAAAAGCCGGUCUCAGUUCGGAUUGGAGUCUGCAACUCGACUCCAUGAAGUCGGAAUCGCUAGUAAACGCCGGUCAGCAAUACGGCGUUGAAUACGUUCCCGGGCCUUGCACACACCGCCCGUCACGUGACGAAAGUCGGUCUCGCCCGAAGUCGCUGCGCUAACCGCAAGGAAGCAGGCGCCGAAGGCAGGGCUGGUAAUUGGCGCGAAGUCGUAACAAGGUA
This 1480-nucleotide ribosomal RNA is filed under the name metagenome. Its description in RNAcentral is "bacterial SSU rRNA". It matches the Rfam family "Bacterial small subunit ribosomal RNA". The record is from RNAcentral.